Small nuclear RNA from Amblyraja radiata (thorny skate), 184 nucleotides. RefSeq annotates it as U2 spliceosomal RNA. The transcript has a single exon. The record is from RefSeq and is a predicted model, not a curated record. Lineage: Eukaryota; Metazoa; Chordata; Chondrichthyes; Rajiformes; Rajidae.
GUUGCUUCUCAGCCAUUAGGCUAAGAUCAAGAAUAAUACCUGUUUGUAUCAGUUUAAUAUCUGAUACUUCACUUGUCUAGGGAGCAUAUAUUAAAUUGAUUUUUGGAACAGGUAGAUAGAGUAGGGGCUUGCUCCAUCCAUUCCACGCAUCCAUUGCAGUGCUUUGAUAAAGGGCGGCACGGUG